AUUGAACGCUGGCGGAAUGCUUUACACAUGCAAGUCGAACGGCAGCACGGACUUCGGUCUGGUGGCGAGUGGCGAACGGGUGAGUAAUGUAUCGGAACGUGCCCAGUCGUGGGGGAUAACGUAGUGAAAAUUACGCUAAUACCGCAUACGAUCUAUGGAUGAAAGCGGGGGAUCGCAGGACCUAGCGCGAUUGGAGCGGCGGAUAGCAGAUUAGGUAGUUGGUGGGGUAAAGGCCCACCAAGCCAACGAUCUGUAGCUGGUCUGCGAGGACGACCAGCCACACUGGAACUGAGACACGGUCCAGACUCCUACGGGAGGCAGCAGUGGGGAAUUGUGGACAAUGGGCGAAAGCCUGAUCCAGCCAUUCCGCGUGCAGGAUGAAGGCCCUCGGGUUGUAAACUGCUUUUGUACAGAACGAAAAGGUUUCUACUAAUACUAGGAGCUCAUGACGGUACUGUAAGAAUAAGCACCGGCUAACUACGUGCCAGCAGCCGCCGUAA
This 500-nucleotide ribosomal RNA is filed under the name uncultured bacterium. Its description in RNAcentral is "partial 16S ribosomal RNA". It matches the Rfam family "Bacterial small subunit ribosomal RNA", at positions 30 to 523 of the family's 1533-position model. The record is from RNAcentral.